CCUACGGGAGGCAGCAGUAGGGAAUCUUCCACAAUGGGCGAAAGCCUGAUGGAGCAACGCCGCGUGGGUGAAGAAGGUCUUCGGAUCGUAAAACCCUGUUGUUAGAGAAGACAGUGCGUGAGAGUAACUGUUCACGUUUCGACGGUAUCUAACCAGGAAGCCACGGCUAACUACGUGCCAGCAGCCGCGGUAAUACGUAGGUGGCAAGCGUUAUCCGGAUUUAUUUGGCGUAAAGGGAACGCAGGCGGUCUUUUAAGUCUGAUGUGAAAGCCUUCGGCUUACCCGGAGUAGUGCAUUGGAAACUGGGAGACUUGAGGGCAGACGAGGAGAGUGGAACUCCAUGUGUAGCGGUGAAAUGCGUAGAUAUAUGGAAGAACACCAGUGGCGAAAGCGGCUCUCUGGUCUGUAACUGACGCUGAGGUUCGAAAGCGUGGGUAGCAAACAGGAUUAGCUACCCGAGUAGUC
This 465-nucleotide ribosomal RNA is filed under the name uncultured bacterium. RNAcentral's name for it is "partial 16S ribosomal RNA". It matches the Rfam family "Bacterial small subunit ribosomal RNA", at positions 338 to 795 of the family's 1533-position model. The record is from RNAcentral.